GAGGGACGGUCAUAAUAAAGUUUACAAGUCAUUUUCAGAUGAGCUUGACUGCAAGACCCACGAGUCGAGCAAGGACGAAAGCCGGCCUUGGUGAUCUGACAGUGUUGAGUGGAAGGGCCGUCGCUCAAC
RNAcentral lists this ribosomal RNA (129 nucleotides) under Olea europaea subsp. europaea. RNAcentral's name for it is "LSU_rRNA_bacteria". The record is from RNAcentral. Lineage: Eukaryota; Viridiplantae; Streptophyta; Magnoliopsida; Lamiales; Oleaceae.